Molecule: transfer RNA, 73 nt
Filed under: Stegodyphus mimosarum
Lineage: Eukaryota; Metazoa; Arthropoda; Arachnida; Araneae; Eresidae
Rfam family: tRNA
About the family: Transfer RNA (tRNA) molecules are approximately 80 nucleotides in length. Their secondary structure includes four short double-helical elements and three loops (D, anti-codon, and T loops).
Source: Rfam by way of RNAcentral
GCCUUCGGGGUGUAGUGGUCAGCACGCUUGACGCGUAACCGAGAGAUCCGUGGUUCGAUUCCCGGCGAAGGCA